AGUGAACGCUGGCGGUAGGCCUAACACAUGCAAGUCGAACGGCAGCACAGUAAGAGCUUGCUCUUACGGGUGGCGAGUGGCGGACGGGUGAGGAAUACAUCGGAAUCUACUUUUUCGUGGGGGAUAACGUAGGGAAACUUACGCUAAUACCGCAUACGACCUACGGGUGAAAGCAGGGGAUCUUCGGACCUUGCGCGAUUGAAUGAGCCGAUGUCGGAUUAGCUAGUUGGCGGGGUAAAGGCCCACCAAGGCGACGAUCCGUAGCUGGUCUGAGAGGCUGAUCGGCCACACUGGAACUGAGACACGGUCCAGACUCCUACGGGAGGCAGCAGUGUGGAAUGUUGGACAAUGGGCGCAAGCCUGACCCAGCCAGACCGCGUGUGUGAAGAAGGCCUUCGGUUUGUAAAGCCCUUUUGUUGGGAAAGAAAAGCAGCAGGUUAAUACCCCGCUGUUCUGACGGUACCCAAAGAAGAAGCACCGGCUAACUUCGUG
RNAcentral lists this ribosomal RNA (492 nucleotides) under uncultured bacterium. Its description in RNAcentral is "partial 16S ribosomal RNA". It matches the Rfam family "Bacterial small subunit ribosomal RNA", at positions 29 to 507 of the family's 1533-position model. The record is from RNAcentral.